RNAcentral lists this transfer RNA (71 nucleotides) under Camelus bactrianus (Bactrian camel). It matches the Rfam family "tRNA". Rfam says of the family: Transfer RNA (tRNA) molecules are approximately 80 nucleotides in length. Their secondary structure includes four short double-helical elements and three loops (D, anti-codon, and T loops). RNAcentral also lists the same sequence under 2 other names. The record is from Rfam by way of RNAcentral. Lineage: Eukaryota; Metazoa; Chordata; Mammalia; Artiodactyla; Camelidae.
GGGGUGCUAACUCAGUGGUAGAGUGCAUGUUUAGCAUGCAUGAGGUCUUGGGUUCAACCCCCAGUACCUCC